UUUUUUUUUAGGGUGAAAAGACCUAUUCUCAUCACCCCCCCAUAUAUUCUGACUGAUUUAUGUUCUAGCCACUGCAGCUCUUCCUUCCGUAUCUCUUUACAUUUUUUCCUCUCUCCAUAGAACACCACCAGGCAAAACCCCAUUUUAAGUCCAAAAUUGUAAAAAAUGCUUAAGCAAACAGUGCUCACUACUAUGAGGGAAGGAAUAGUACAACUACUGGUUUAUGGGGAGAGGCGAGUCAAGGAAAUCCCUCCUGCUUUUCUAAACUGCUCAUUUUCUUGCUCAAAAGGCAUUCAAUAACUUCUCCACCAGGGGAGAACAUACCCACUUUUCAGUGGCUCUCUUGAUUACUUCCAACUAUUUACUUAAAUUCACCAACAGCUGCAUGUCUUUGAGAAGCUUCAGAACUUGGGGAAUAUUUACAAAUACAUAAGGGGCUGAGAGAGUACGUGUGAGUCUCUUCGAAAUGGCAAGAGAAAACUAUUGCACUGUACAGUCAGGGACAGAGAAAUCACUGCCAAUGCAAAGACAAGAGAAAGGCAAUACCUUAACCCAAGGAAGGAGGAAAAAAAAACACUCGGUUAGCCCUCUUUGGGCUGAAGGACUGGAGUGUCCUUCCUGAAUCUGAGAGCAGACGACAGCCACUGCUGGCUGGGUCCACUGCCCUACACUGCUCAGCUGUUUUUUUCCAGAAGAACACUUCCCUGCUCUGCGAGGCUGAUGGCAUCUUUUUUGCCCAUUCCAGUCUCCAAACCCUAUGUGCUGGUUCCCCUAACAACCCGUGGAUCUCGCCUCUCAGCCCCCAGCACUUCAUUCGCGUUGCCUUUCCUGUGAGAACUGGGUCAUAAAAUUUUACAGGGGAGAAAGGUAGAAAGGGGCGGUUCAGUAGUAUAAACACUGAUUAAAUUCCCGGGCAACUCUCCCCAAAUGAAAGAUAAUUUUUCUACAAGUAUGCACAAGAAUGUCAAGAAUGCUAAGUCAUUUUUAUGUUUGCACUUUCCUUUUCCAUUUUAAUUUUACACCGCCACAUGGCACACAUGCUAAAAAUGUAUCUCCGUAACCUGCAGUGUAGCAAACUUUUCACAAAACAUUGAAAACCCCGUGUUUUAUAGACUGUCCUUUCCCAGGAUGCUCCAAGCAUUUUUUAGAUACAGAAUUAGAUCAUCUUACGACAACUGUCCUGUUAGAAAGACAUGGCUACUCGUGCAUUGGCAAAUAGGGGAAAAUCAGAAGCCCUGGAAAGGAAAGGUCACACCAAAGUCAGUGGCGGCAGCCUUAAGUAGACUCUGAGUGCUUGGUUUUCCAAUUUAUACUACUUCCCACUUGCUCCUCAUUUGUCUCUCUUUUUGCCCUGGCAGGAAAGGAUGUGGCCAGUGCGGAGGCUUGACCUCAUCUCCUGUACUUGGCUUCGCUCUGACACGCUGUUCUCCCACACUCUUGCCCUGUUUUCUCCGUCAUCAGCUGGCCAGCUCUCACCAGGGGCCAAGCCAAGAGGAGGCAACCGCAGGUGCCCUUGUAGCCGCCUCCAGUGUUGGCAACCGAAGCCUGCCCCUGCCAGGUCCCAUGCCCGGUGGGGCUGCGAGGGUCACCCGAACAUAACAAUUCAUUUACAGAUCAUAUAAAUACAUGAAAGAGCCGGGUCAUUUAUGGGGUUCCCAGUUGGCAAUGACCCCACUGCACUCCAGCCAAAUGAGGCCGAGGAAGGUGAGCUGAUGAUCCAAGUACACUAUCCGUCUCUAGCAUUGGUGCAAUCACAGUAACACAGUUGCGCCUACUUGUUUUUGUCUUUUUUUUUUUUUUUUUAAGUAGAUCUAAUUCCUUAGCCGUGUCCCUGAUGCCGCGACAGCUCUAAUUUCCUUUGGUGGGAGGACAUCAGAGACUAGAAGGGAUCAGGGGACAUUUUAUUUGGGGAGGGGCAGACUCAGUUUCCAGGCGACCUAUUAACAGUCAGAAGACAAAAUACUUCCUGGCGGUUGCGCCAAUAACAACAGCAGCAGCAAUAGUAAUAGUAACGACAAUGGCAACACUAAAGCGCAGUAAAGCCUGAAUCUACCAGGCGAACCGCCCCCCCCCCGCCCCCGGCCCAGGUGUCCUGCUGCCAGCCCUCUCACUCUGGCCGGUCUCGGCGCACAAACUGGCUCUGGCGCUGCCUCCAGGCUGCCCUCCAGGUUCCAACCCCCACCCCCGCCCCCAAGGUGGGUAGCCCUGCUGAGCCUCCUGCUUCAGCCUAAGUCCAGCCCACAGUCUCUCCUGCUGCCAAGGGGCUGGGACUACCUGGGACUCCGAGGUAGCGUUUCUUUCACAAAUCUGCAACUUUCCCCCUAUCCGCCCCGCUCGCAGCCUCCGCGCCCCAGCUCCCACCCGCGGCGAGCACAGCGAGCAAAGCCCAAACACCCCGCGCGCAAUUCGGAGCUUUCCCCGGAGGGUCCGGGCCCGGAGACAGGAAAUCCGGGGAGUUGGCGAUGUCCGGCAGGUGGCGGGGCCCCGAGUGUCCACCACAUUCUCCUCCCACGGCUGAGCUCGAGCGGGGACGCGGCGAGGGGCGCGGGCUGCGACCGGACCCGCAGGCGCCCGGGCCUCCCCGAAGCCUCGGUCCCGGGGCCCCC
Molecule: long non-coding RNA, 2606 nt
Filed under: Canis lupus familiaris (dog)
Lineage: Eukaryota; Metazoa; Chordata; Mammalia; Carnivora; Canidae
Description: lncRNA (ENSCAFG00845000248.1)
Source: RNAcentral